Molecule: microRNA, 23 nt
Filed under: Haplochromis burtoni (Burton's mouthbrooder)
Lineage: Eukaryota; Metazoa; Chordata; Actinopteri; Cichliformes; Cichlidae
Description: abu-miR-10550-5p
Source: miRBase by way of RNAcentral
CAGCACAUCGCUGAACUGAAGCC